Molecule: long non-coding RNA, 867 nt
Organism: Halichondria panicea
Lineage: Eukaryota; Metazoa; Porifera; Demospongiae; Suberitida; Halichondriidae
Exons: 2
Source: RefSeq, a predicted model, not a curated record
CUUUUUUUGCGAAAUUCUAAUUCUGCGAUACUUAGGAAGUAGCUCGAACUACGCACAUCCCUGUAUAGAGGAAGAGCACGUGCAAUUUAGUCUAGAAAUUUCCAAGCCACGUUGCUACGUUAAAAUUUCAUUAGCAUCUUACCGCACGAAGUUUAUAGCUAUGGCUAGGUUGUUUACUUGUGCCGAUGUGCUUGAACAGCUUGAGGACAGCGAUGGCGAUGUCUCCUCUGGUAAUGACAGUGCCUAUGAAGGAGAGGGGAUAGUAGGAUACCUCCCAAAGGUUACCAGCUUUAUGCCAGACGCUGAUGAACUGUCUGGGACUGGGACUGAGGAAAUGCAUGACGCGCUAUGGACCAGGAGAGGGCUCACUGUGUGACUCUGAUCGUUCACCGAGCCCCACCUCUUCUCUGAUGUCAACAGUACCAGGGUGUGGACCCGUCUGAUGGAAGUGGGUCACUGUCCAACGAUGACGGAGAUGAACUUCCUGAUGACAAAAGUGUGUCAUUGGGUGAUGGACUGUCCGGCGAUGAUGAAAGUUUGUUGAUGUCUGACAGUGAAGCUGCUCUUUGCAGGCUAUACUGAGAUACCACUCACACUAGCUGUGCAGUUCUAAAGAGAUACCUGGUGACAAUAGGGCUGAUGGUUAUACAUUGUAUACCAGAGGCGAUGGUACACCUUAUCAAAACAACCAAAGGAUACCCACGAUGUACCUCUUGGGUGGUAAUAUAGUAAUACAUCUACGUAUUGUACUUCAAAUUGAUAUAAUUAUCUUAGCACUGUUACAUUCAUAUGAUGUGAAAAUCAAGCUUAGUCAAGCCUUUAUACCAUAUGAUAGGCUGAUCCAUAAAAAAUUUUUUUUUGAUGUUA